UACGUAGGGUGCAGGCGUUAAUCGGAAUUACUGGGCGUAAAGUGUGCGCAGGCGGCCGAGCAAGUCGAGUGUGAAAGCCCCGAGCUUAACUUGGGAACUGCGCUCGAAACUACUUGGCUAGAGUGUGGCAGAGGGAGGUGGAAUUCCACGUGUAGCGGUGAAAUGCGUUGAUAUUGUGAGGAACGCCGGAGGCGAAAGCGGCGCACUGGAUCUCUUCUGACGCUGAGGCGCGAAAGCUAGGGGAGCAAACGGG
RNAcentral lists this ribosomal RNA (253 nucleotides) under uncultured bacterium. RNAcentral describes it as "partial 16S ribosomal RNA". It matches the Rfam family "Bacterial small subunit ribosomal RNA", at positions 524 to 776 of the family's 1533-position model. The record is from RNAcentral.